UACGUAGGGCGCAAGCGUUGUCCGGAAUUAUUGGGCGUAAAGAGCUCGUAGGCGGUUGGUCACGUCUGGUGUGAAAUCCCGAGGCUCAACUUCGGGCUUGCAUCGGGUACGGGCCGACUAGAGUGCUGUAGGGGAGACUGGAAUUCCUGGUGUAGCGGUGGAAUGCGCAGAUAUCAGGAGGAACACCGAUGGCGAAGGCAGGUCUCUGGGCAGCUACUGACGCUGAGGAGCGAAAGCAUGGGGAGCGAACAGG
Molecule: ribosomal RNA, 253 nt
Filed under: uncultured bacterium
Lineage: Bacteria
Description: partial 16S ribosomal RNA
Rfam family: Bacterial small subunit ribosomal RNA
Source: RNAcentral